GCGGGGCGGCGUGCUAAUACAUGCAAGUCGAGCGGACAGAAGGGAGCUUGCUCCCGGAUGUUAGCGGCGGACGGGUGAGUAACACGUGGGUAACCUGCCUGUAAGACUGGGAUAACUCCGGGAAACCGGAGCUAAUACCGGAUAGUUCCUUGAACCGCAUGGUUCAAGGAUGAAAGACGGUUUCGGCUGUCACUUACAGAUGGACCCGCGGCGCAUUAGCUAGUUGGUGAGGUAACGGCUCACCAAGGCGACGAUGCGUAGCCGACCUGAGAGGGUGAUCGGCCACACUGGGACUGAGACACGGGGCCCAGACUCCUACGGGAGGCAGCAGUAGGGAAUCUUCCGCAAUGGACGAAAGUCUGACGGAGCAACGCCGCGUUGAGUGAUGAAGGUUUUCGGAUCGUAAAGCUCUGUUGUUAGGGAAGAACAAGUGCAAGAGUAACUGCUUGCACCUUGACGGUACCUAACCAGAAAGCCACGGCUAACUACGUGCCAGCAGCCGCGGUAAUACGUAGGUGGCAAGCGUUUUCCGGAAUUAUUGGGCGUAAAGGGCUCGCAGGCGGUUUCUUAAGUCUGAUGUGAAAGCCCCCGGCUCAACCGGGGAGGGUCAUUGGAAACUGGGAAACUUGAGUGCAGAAGAGGAGAGUGGAAUUCCACGUGUAGCGGUGAAAUGCGUAGAGAUGUGGAGGAACACCAGUGGCGAAGGCGACUCUCUGGUCUGUAACUGACGCUGAGGAGCGAAAGCGUGGGGAGCGAACAGGAUUAGAUACCCUGGUAGUCCACGCCGUAAACGAUGAGUGCUAAGUGUUAGGGGGUUUCCGCCCCUUAGUGCUGCAGCUAACGCAUUAAGCACUCCGCCUGGGGAGUACGGUCGCAAGACUGAAACUCAAAGGAAUUGACGGGGGCCCGCACAAGCGGUGGAGCAUGUGGUUUAAUUCGAAGCAACGCGAAGAACCUUACCAGGUCUUGACAUCCUCUGACAACCCUAGAGAUAGGGCUUUCCCUUCGGGGACAGAGUGACAGGUGGUGCAUGGUUGUCGUCAGCUCGUGUCGUGAGAUGUUGGGUUAAGUCCCGCAACGAGCGCAACCCUUGAUCUUAGUUGCCAGCAUUCAGUUGGGCACUCUAAGGUGACUGCCGGUGACAAACCGGAGGAAGGUGGGGAUGACGUCAAAUCAUUCAUGCCCCUUAUGACCUGGGCUACACACGUGCUACAAUGGACAGAACAAAGGGCUGCGAGACCGCAAGGUUUAGCCAAUCCCACAAAUCUGUUCUCAGUUCGGAUCGCAGUCUGCAACUCGACUGCGUGAAGCUGGAAUCGCUAGUAAUCGCGGAUCAGCAUGCCGCGGUGAAUACGUUCCCGGGCCUUGUACACACCGCCCGUCACACCACGAGAGUUUGCAACACCCGAAGUCGGUGAGGUAACCUUUAUGGAGCCAGCCGCCGAAGUGACAGAUA
RNAcentral lists this ribosomal RNA (1456 nucleotides) under Bacillus sp. (in: firmicutes). RNAcentral describes it as "bacterial SSU rRNA". It matches the Rfam family "Bacterial small subunit ribosomal RNA". Lineage: Bacteria; Bacillati; Bacillota; Bacilli; Caryophanales; Bacillaceae. The record is from RNAcentral.